UCGGUAACACCCGAAGCCUGUAGUCUAACCGCAAGGAGGACGCAGUCGAAGGUGGGAUUGAUGACUGGGGUGAAGUCGUAACAAGGUAAC
This 90-nucleotide ribosomal RNA is filed under the name uncultured bacterium. RNAcentral's name for it is "partial 16S ribosomal RNA". It matches the Rfam family "Bacterial small subunit ribosomal RNA", at positions 1411 to 1500 of the family's 1533-position model. The record is from RNAcentral.